GCGUGAGUGAUGAAGGCCCUAGGGUUGUAAAGCUCUUUCGCCAGGGACGAUAAUGACGGUACCUGGAGAAGAAGCCCCGGCUAACUUCGUGCCAGCAGCCGCGGUAAUACGAAGGGGGCUAGCGUUGUUCGGAAUCACUGGGCGUAAAGGGCACGCAGGCGGGUUGUCCAGUCAGGGGUGAAAUCCCGAGGCUCAACCUCGGAACUGCCUUUGAUACUGACAACCUUCGAGUCCGGGAGAGGUGAGUGGAACUCCGAGUGUAGAGGUGAAAUUCGU
This 276-nucleotide ribosomal RNA is filed under the name uncultured bacterium. RNAcentral describes it as "partial 16S ribosomal RNA". It matches the Rfam family "Bacterial small subunit ribosomal RNA", at positions 399 to 691 of the family's 1533-position model. The record is from RNAcentral.